AGGCAGCAGGUGGGGAAUAUUGCACAAUGGGCGCAAGCCUGAUGCAGCCAUGCCGCGUGUGUGAAGAAGGCCUUCGGGUUGUAAAGCACUUUCAGUCGUGAGGAAGGCGGGUACGUUAAUAGCGUAUUCGUUUGACGUUAGCGACAGAAGAAGCACCGGCUAACUCCGUGCCAGCAGCCGCGGUAAUACGGAGGGUGCGAGCGUUAAUCGGAAUUACUGGGCGUAAAGCGCAUGCAGGUGGUUUGUUAAGUCAGAUGUGAAAGCCCCGGGGCUCAACCUCGGAAUAGCAUUUGAAACUGGCAGACUAGAGUACUGUAGAGGGGGUAGAAUUUCAGGUGUAGCGGUGAAAUGCGUAGAGAUCUGAAGGAAUACCGGUGGCGAAGGCGGCCCCCUGGACAGAUACUGACACUCAGAUGCGAAAGCGUGGGGAGCAAACAGGAUUAGAUACCCUGGUAG
RNAcentral lists this ribosomal RNA (456 nucleotides) under uncultured bacterium. Its description in RNAcentral is "bacterial SSU rRNA". It matches the Rfam family "Bacterial small subunit ribosomal RNA", at positions 346 to 793 of the family's 1533-position model. The record is from RNAcentral.